UGACUCCUGUUCACGGCCGCGGUAUCCUAACCGUGCGAAGGUAGCGUAAUCACUUGUUCUUUAAAUAAGGACUAGUAUGAAUGGCACCACGAGGGUUAUACUGUCUCCUUUUUCUAAUCAGUGAAACUAAUCUUCCCGUGAAGAAGCGGGAAUUAUUUUAUAAGACGAGAAGACCCUAUGGAGCUUUAAACAAAAUAACAAUUGCUAUGUUUACCAACAAUUUCAGAAGACUCAAAACCAUCUUAGCACUUUGAUUAUAAGUUUUAGGUUGGGGUGACCGCGGAGAAAAAAUUAACCUCCACAUUGAAAGGGUACUUACCCUAAGCAAAGAGCCACAACUUUAUGCAUCAAUAAAUUGACAUUAAUUGACCCAAUAUUUUGACCAACGAACCAAGUUACCCUAGGGAUAACAGCGCAAUCCGCUUCAAGAGCUCCUAUCGACAAGCGGGUUUACGACCUCGAUGUUGGAUCAGGGUAUCCCAGUGGUGCAGCCGCUACUAAAGGUUCGUUUGUUCAACGAUUAAAACCCUACGUGAUCUGA
Molecule: ribosomal RNA, 541 nt
Filed under: Batrachyla taeniata (banded wood frog)
Lineage: Eukaryota; Metazoa; Chordata; Amphibia; Anura; Batrachylidae
Description: partial 16S ribosomal RNA
Rfam family: Bacterial large subunit ribosomal RNA
Source: RNAcentral